GUUUGCUGUUCCACCCCAAGGAAGACAGCUAAAGGUGGAAAGAAAUCACGAGCUCGGGCAAAACUAUUUGGACCAUGCAAAGGACGGGCGUCUCUCUACUGUCUGCACGGGGCUUGCCAGCUGCUGCGUAUGAAGAAGACGAAACAGCUGAGAUGCAGGUGUGAAGAUGGCUACGCUGGGGAGCGCUGUGACCGCCGUCUCCUCUACUCGCGAUCCGAUUGGCCGCGCUCGCUGCUCGAGCCGCCUCCCCAUUGGCUCCUCGGCUGACGGGGGACCCCACCCCCCACAACAACCCCUUACUCGUGUGCUCGGACCACGCCCACCCACUUCUACAUUUGCAUUAACCACGCCCACCCACCUCUACAUUUGCAUUAACCAUGCCCCCGCCUCGUUUUUUGCAUUAACCACGCCCCCGUCUCGUUAUUUGCAUUAACCACGCCCACCCACCUCGACAUUUGCGUUAACCACGCCCACCCACCUCGGCAUGUGCAUUUACCACGCCCCUCCUAAUUUGCAUUAACCACGCCCUCGUUAUUUGCAUUAACCACGCCCACCCACCUCUACAUUUGCAUUAACCACGCCCACCCACCUCGACAUUUGCAUUAACCACGUCCCCGCCUCGUUAUUUGCAUUAACCACGCCCACCCGCCUCGACAUUUGCAUUAACCACGCCCACCCACCUCGACAUGUGCAUUAACCACGCCCCUCCUAACUUGCAUUAAACACGCCCCCACCUCGUUAUUUGCAUUAACCACGCCCACCCACCUCGACAUGUGCAUUAACCACGCCCCUCCUAAUUUGCAUUAAACACGCCCCCGCCUCGUUAUUUGCAUUAACCACGCCUACCCACCUCGACACUUGUGCUAACCACGCCCACCCAUCUCGGCAUGUGCAUUAACCACGCCCCCCUCAUUUGCAUUAAACACGCCCCCGCUUAGUUAUUUGCAUUAACCACGCCCACCCACCUCGACAUUUGCGUUAACCACGCCCACCCACCUCGGCAUGUGCAUUUACCACGCCCCUCCUAAUUUGCAUUAACCACGCCCUCGUUAUUUGCAUUAACCACGCCCACCCACCUCGACAUUUGCGUUAACCACGCCCCCGCCUCGUUAUUUGCAUUAACCACGCCCACCCACCUCGGCAUGUGCAUUUACCACGCCCACCCACCUCGACAUUUGCGUUAACCACGCCCACCCACCUCGGCAUGUGCAUUUACCACGCCCCUCCUAAUUUGCAUUAACCACGCCCCGUCCUCGUUAUUUGCAUUAACCACGCCCACCCACCUCGACAUUUGCGUUAACCACGCCCAACCACCUCGACAUUUGCGUUAACCACGCCCCUCCUAAUUUGCAUUAAACACGCCCCCGCCUCGUUAUUUGCAUUAACCACGCCUACCCACCUCGACACUUGUGCUAACCACGCCCACCCAUCUCGGCAUGUGCAUUAACCACGCCCCUCCUAAUUUGCAUUAACCACGCCCCGUCCUCGUUAUUUGCAUUAACCACGCCCACCCACCUCGACAUUUGCGUUAACCACGCCCAACCACCUCGACAUUUGCGUUAACCACGCCCCUCCUAAUUUGCAUUAAACACGCCCCCGCCUCGUUAUUUGCAUUAACCACGCCUACCCACCUCGACACUUGUGCUAACCACGCCCACCCACCUCGUCAUUUGCAUUAACCACGCCCAUCCACCUCGACACUUGCGUUAACCACGCCCACCCACCUCGUCAUUUGCAUAAACCACGCCUCGCUCGUUUGCAUUAACCACGCCCCGUGGCGUCUUGUGCACCUAGCCUGGCACCACGAGGAGUCUGUGGGGGUGAUGGGGAUACAAAGGCGGCCGUGGUGAAGGAGCCUCUCACUUUGACUGUGCAGGCGACGCAGGGCUGUGAAUGUCAAUCAAAUAAAGUCACUCAA
Petromyzon marinus (sea lamprey) is the source of this 1918-nucleotide non-coding RNA. Lineage: Eukaryota; Metazoa; Chordata; Hyperoartia; Petromyzontiformes; Petromyzontidae. The record is from RefSeq and is a predicted model, not a curated record.